ACGCUCGACACCUACGGGAGGCAGCAGGUGGGGAAUAUUGCACAAUGGGGGAAACCCUGAUGCAGCGACGCCGCGUGAGCGAAGAAGUAUUUCGGUAUGUAAAGCUCUAUCAGCAGGGAAGAAACUGACGGUACCUGACUAAGAAGCACCGGCUAAAUACGUGCCAACAGCCGCGGUAAUCUGAGCGGGCUGGCAAGGC
This 199-nucleotide ribosomal RNA is filed under the name uncultured bacterium. Its description in RNAcentral is "partial 16S ribosomal RNA". It matches the Rfam family "Bacterial small subunit ribosomal RNA", at positions 328 to 539 of the family's 1533-position model. The record is from RNAcentral.